UACGUAGGGGGGCAAGCGUUUGUCCGGAUUUAUUGGGCGUAAAGAGCGUGUAGGCGGCUUUACAGGUCCGUUUGUGAAAACUCGAGGCUCAACCUCGAGACGCCGGUGGAAACCGUAAAGCUAGAGUCCGGAAGAGGAGAGUGGAAUUCCUGGUGUAGCGGUGAAAUGCGCAGAUAUCGGGAAGAACACCCGUGGCGAAGGCGGGUUCUCUGGGACGGUACUGACGCUGAGACGCGAAAGCGUGGGGGAGCGAACAGG
This 258-nucleotide ribosomal RNA is filed under the name uncultured bacterium. RNAcentral's name for it is "partial 16S ribosomal RNA". It matches the Rfam family "Bacterial small subunit ribosomal RNA", at positions 524 to 776 of the family's 1533-position model. The record is from RNAcentral.